RNAcentral lists this ribosomal RNA (473 nucleotides) under uncultured bacterium. Its description in RNAcentral is "bacterial SSU rRNA". It matches the Rfam family "Bacterial small subunit ribosomal RNA", at positions 28 to 524 of the family's 1533-position model. The record is from RNAcentral.
GAUGAACGCUGGCGGCGUGCUUAACACAUGCAAGUCGAACGUGAGAGGUAGCAAUAUCUUGAAAGUGGCGCACGGGUGAGUAACACGUAGGUAACCUGCCUCGGAGUGGGGGAUAACAGUUAGAAAUGACUGCUAAUACCGCAUGAAUCCAUUAAGAUGGGAAUGUUGAUGGAGAAAACUCUGGUGCUUCGAGAGGGGCCUGCGGUCGAUUAGCUAGUUGGUGGGUAACGGCCCACCAAGGCGACGAUCGAUAGCUGGUCUGAGAGGACGAUCAGCCACACGGGAACUGAGACACGGUCCCGACUCCUACGGGGGCAGCAGUGAGGAAUAUUGGGCAAUGGGCGAAGCCUGACCCAGCAACGCCGCGUGGAGGAAUGAAGGCCUUCGGUUGUAAACUCCCUUUUGCAGGGAAGAGGAAGGACGGUACCCUGCGAAUAAGUCACGGCUAACUACGUGCCAGCAGCCGCGGUAAU